AACUUGAGAGUUUGAUCAUGGCUCAGAACGUACGCUGGCGGCACGCCUAACACAUGCAAGUCGAACGAAGUAGCAAUACUUAGUGGCAGACGGGUGAGUAACAUGUAGGUAUCUACCCUUUGGCCUGGAAUAACACGAGGAAACUUGUGCUAAUACCGGAUAAGUCUUUACGGAGAAAGCUUUAUGCACCAUUGGAUGAGCCUGCACUUGAUUAGUUUGUUGGUGGGGUAAUGGCCUACCAAGACUGUGAUCAAUAGCUGAUUUGAGAGGAUGAUCAGCCACAUUGGGACUGAGACACGGCCCAAACUCCUACGGGAGGCAGCAGUGGGGAAUCUUGCACAAUGGAGGAAACUCUGAUGCAGCGAUGCCGCGUGAGUGAAGAAGGCCUUUGGGUUGUAAAGCUCUUUCGUCGGGGAAGAAAAUGACUGUACCCGAAUAAGAAGGUCCGGCUAACUUCGUGCCAGCAGCCGCGGUAAUACGAAGGGACCUAGCGUAGUUCGGAAUUACUGGGCUUAAAGAGUUCGUAGGUUGUUGAAAAAGUUGGUGGUGAAAUCCCAGAGCUUAACUCUGGAACUGCCAUCAAAACUUUUCAGCUAGAGUAUGAUAGAGGAAAGCAGAAUUUCUAGUGUAGAGGUGAAAUUCGUAGAUAUUAGAAAGAAUACCAAUUGCGAAGGCAGCUUUCUGGAUCAUUACUGACACUGAGGAACGAAAGCAUGGGUAGCGAAGAGGAUUAGAUACCCUCGUAGUCCAUGCCGUAAACGAUGUGUGUUAGACGUUGGAAAUUUAUUUUCAGUGUCGCAGCGAAAGCGAUAAACACACCGCCUGGGGAGUACGACCGCAAGGUUAAAACUCAAAUGAAUUGACGGGGACCCGCACAAGUAGUGGAGCAUGUGGUUUAAUUCGAAGAUACGCGCAGAACCUUACCAACACUUGACAUGUUCGUCGCGACUUUAAGAGAUUAAAGUUUUCGGUUCGGCCGGACGAAACACAGGUGCUGCAUGGCUGUCGUCAGCUCGUGUCGUGAGAUGUUGGGUUAAGUCCCGCAACGAGCGCAACCCUCACUUUUAGUUGCCAUCAUUUAGUUGGGCACUCUGAAAGAACUGCCAGUGAUAAGCUGGAGGAAGGUGGGGAUGACGUCAAGUCCUCAUGGCCCUUACGUGUUGGGCUACACACGUGCUACAAUGGUAUCUACAACAGGAAGCAAAACCGCGAGGUUAAGCAAAUCCUUAAAAGAUACCUCAGUUCGGAUUGCACUCUGCAACUCGAGUGCAUGAAGCUGGAAUUACUAGUAAUCGUGGAUCAGCGUGCCACGGUGAAUGCGUUCCCGGGUCUUGUACACACCGCCCGUCACACCAUGGGAGUUGGUUCUACCUUAAGGCAAGGUUUCAAACCCUUGACCACGGUAUAGUCAGCGACUGGGGUGAAGUCGUAACAAGGUAGCCGUAGGGGAACCUGCGGCUGGAUUACCUCCUU
This 1473-nucleotide ribosomal RNA is filed under the name Candidatus Pelagibacter sp. AAA795-P11. RNAcentral describes it as "bacterial SSU rRNA". It matches the Rfam family "Bacterial small subunit ribosomal RNA". Lineage: Bacteria; Pseudomonadati; Pseudomonadota; Alphaproteobacteria; Candidatus Pelagibacterales; Candidatus Pelagibacteraceae. The record is from RNAcentral.